CUGCUCUGUGUUAUUUCUGCCCUUGGUCCCGCAGAGUCCUGCAGAGCUGAGCUCUCUGCACACGCCUCCCUCCUUCCUCCUUUCUUGGCGCCUGUGCAGCUCCAUACGUUAACCCUGGCGAGUGCAAGCUUGGGGGUCCUCACCCAGGUGGUUCUCACCACCAGCCUGUGGCCUGGGCUCCAUCUGCGAAAAUCAAACCUAACAGAGAGGGCUGAGAUGCAGCAGCAACUCGGGGAGCGAACUGACAGUGCAGCUGACUGACAAGAAAGAGGUGAGGAGUGAACGCUGCAAUUUGAGAACCUCUUUGGUCAGCUCUUGGAAAAGAACGAACUCUCUCCUGUUGAAACGAGCUCAAGGUUUUUCAAGAAGCCAGCAUGAGCAACUUGGAUUCCGAAACCGAGGCAGAAGUUGGAGCAUCCGAGAGGACCAGAGGGGGUCUAUCAUCUCCUACAGAUUUAACUGAAAUGGGACCAGCACAGCGGCCAGCGAGCAUGCGGGAGAGGGCGUGAGACUUUGCAGCUCACCAGACACCCACAUUGAAGGGGAGGUUGCAAGUCCUUUCUUUCUCUCAUCAGGGAAGUAGAGAUGGCUCCAGCCGAGGAGUCUUCUUUCUGUUUACAGAGUCGCGUGGUGGUGGGGAAGGCUGAACUCUUGGAUGUGAAAUUGUUCUCUUCUGACAUGUAGGAAAGAGACUCUCUUCUGAGAGCCCACAAAUAUUUGUCAGUUAUUUUUCUCUUGGAGAAAUGUUUUUCUCAAAUCUGUGAUGCUAAAGACCGUCGUGGGCAUUUCAGCUUCUGUGGCCUGUGAAAGUUGACUGCAUCCCAGGGCUGCUCCAAAGGGGUUAAUUGCAUCUAAGCAUUGGAAAGUGAUUAUCUAAUUAAACUUUGAAAUGGAAUGGUAAAAACGCUGGGUGACAGACUGUCUGUGGGAGGGUCCCCUGAGGUGCUCUCCAUUUAUUGCUAAUCAUCUUUCUUGCCCAGGCGGAGCCAGUUUCCAGCAGAGCACAUGCUCAGACCGCGCUCUCCCCAGCUCGGGAGUCACUCAGAGAUUUCUCAGGCAGAUUCCUCCCUCCGUGUUGCGUGCCCUGCCUGAACUCUGCAGUUGUGCCUGGCUAUCUUGAAAGGCUAUCAUCCCUGGUCUUCAGCUCCCCCUAAUUCCUAUUUAAAAUCAGAAGGCUAUGUCUAUACUUAGAACCAUGGAACCAAAGAGAUUUGAAGGGUUGGGAGUUAUGCUGGAUAUUUAUGACUGUUGCCCAGAGAAUUGGGGCUCGAGACCCAGGACGCCUGCCAUAAAUUCUGUGCACGUGUCGUAUCCCCCUCAUUGAAAUCUGCUGGCACCUAGAUUCUCUGGGCCAGGGCCCCUGCCAGGUACCCUGGUGGAUGCAGAGUGAGUCUGGACCACGUGCUCCGGAGCAGCCUGUGGGCGAGAGGGGAACAAGCUGGAAGAGCCGACGUGAAGAUCGUUCUUUGUCACUUGAAAAGCAAUCUCGUUUGUUCUUCAUUCGUGCCUGGUGAUGUGGUUCCCUACAUCACUGCCACUUUCUAGAUGUAGAAAAUGAGGCUCAGACCCCUUAAACAACCUCCUUGAGUCCUUCAACACUGAGCUUCCUAACCUUGAAACUCAUGUCUUUUUUUUAAAUUAUAUUAUUAAUGUGUAGUUAAUUUGCAACGUUGGGUUAGUUUCUGCUGUCCAGCAAAGAGAUUCAGUUACAUGGACAUAUACAGCUUUUCAUAUUCUUUUCUAUCAUGGCUUAGCACAGGAUGUUGAGUCUUGUUCCCUGUGUGAUAGAGGAGGACCUUGUUGUUCAUCCAUUUUCUUUCAUUUUUAUUUUUAAUCGGAGGAUAAUUGCUUUACAGUGUUAUGUUGGUUUCUGUAUAUAUAUUGAAUCUAGGGAAAUGGUACUGAUGAACCUAUUUGCAGGGCAGGAACAGAGACACUGACGUAGAGAAGGAACUUGUAGACACAGCAGGGGAAGGAAAGGGUGGGACAAAUUAAGAGAGUAGCCUUGAAUUAUAUACAUUACCAUGCUUAUCCCUUUUAUAUAUAAUAGUUUGCAGCCAUUAAUCCCAAACUCCCACGCUAUCCCUCCUCUCCCCCGCAACCCCGACAAUCACAAGUCUGUCCUUUAUGUCGGUCAGUCUGUUUCUGUGUUGUUGGUAAGGAACUCGUGUCUUUUUACCUGCUGGGCUGGAUGCCACGGAGACCUUGACAAGGAAACUUUCCUGCCCUCUGGGGAUAAGAAGGAAAAUGUCACAGCAGAGAUGGCGUUUGACUUUGACGUUCACUGAUGGAGCUUGGCCAGUAAGAGAAAAGACACAGAGAAAGGCAAGUGGGCAUAGAGUUUGGGGACCAGAACAUUGGCAGAAGUGACUUGGAGGCUUGUACUUUGGUUUUAUGUUUUUAUUUUUGAAUGACGCCUUUAUGUGGUGGUAAACAUUUUGGAGGCCCUGUCAUGUGCCAGACCCUGGGGUGUUAGGGAUGAACCAAGCGGAUGAGGUGGUCAUUCUUAUGUUCUAGUGGAAUAGUGGCAGGGUUUUGAAGAAGACGGGGCAUGCUCAGAUCUGAGUUUUAGGACGGUCCUUGUGGUGACAGUUUGGAGAAGGGGACGGGGUUAGAAGGUCCUUGAGGCGACUCCCAUGAAAGGCUAGAAAGUGACGAGGAGGGGCUGGCUUGGGGCCUGGGCAGUAGGGAUCAGGAGGAGUGGACAGACUUGAAAGCAGCUUAACCUGAAAUUCCAGAAUGAUUUCUGUGUGCGCCUUUGAAUUAAGGCAUUGCAGUCACUUAAAUUCCUCUUUAGAACUGCCUUUGCUAAACAACACUUCAAUAUUUUGCUCUCAGCAAAGGUUACCCAAUGAUAUCAGGAGAGUCACCCAGGGAACUUCUCUGCAUUUUUUUUUUUUUUUUUUGUAAAAUGACUAUUGGGGACAUAAUUCAUUGCGCUGCUCAAUGCCACUUAUGCAAAUGUCCCUAUGACAAAUGCAUUCUAGGGCGCUGGGCCAAGAAAAAUUGGUUCUCCUGACAUGCAGGCUGGAUCGUACUUCUAGACAAUAGGAACCCCAUGGCCUGCCAUCCUUCCCUCCAGUAUCCAGGUGUCGGGAAACCCAAAGCUAAGUUUAGGCUUCGUUUUUGUAGCAUUGUUGCUGUUGUUUAGUUGCUAAGUCGUGUCUGACUCUUUGUGACUCCAUGGACUGUAGCCCACCAGGCUCCUCUGUCAUUGAGAUUUCCCAGGCAAGAAUACUAGAGCGGGUUGCCAUUUCCAUCUCCAGGGGAUCUUCCUGACCCAGGGCUUGAACCCAUGUCUCCUGCAUUGCAGGUGGAUUCUUUAUUACUGCACCAUCUGGGGAGACCUUUUGUAGCAUUAUCUGAACAAUUAUACCCCCCUGCUUUCUCUGAUUGUAUUCUAGUUUUAUGGGAAGCUACCUUGUUAGAUAUGGAGUAGAGCGAAAGCCCAGUGAUUGUCAGUCCAUGAAGGGCUUACAAUAGCUUCUGGCAGCAUUGAGUCUGCAUAUGGCUCCUGAUCAUCAUUUCCCAAACUCUGUUCCCUGGUGCAUAGAGGUUCCAUGAGCUGUUCCAGAGCAGGGGAACAGUCCCAGCUGGGGGCAUCUUUUCAUCUUUGGUGCAUUUUAAAGUAGACAUUAGAAAAAUAUCUGCUUAAGAGUUUUGGUAACGCUGUUCUAACAUUCAAACAAGAGUGGCUGCAUGGUGGUGUUGAGUCCCUGGGUGUAACGUGACCUGGGACACGACUCCAUGUCUUUGCAACUCAAUUUCUUCAUCUGUAAAAUGGCACUAAUUAUAGCAUCUGCCUCAGAGGCUUAGGACAGUGCUUGGCACCCAGGGAGCCUUUGACUAGUGGCAGUUUUUAUUUCUGAGUGAUCGUCCCCCUCUGGGAAAAGCUCUCCUGCCCCUGACAGCAGAAGGAAAUCACGUGACAGAUCGCAGGAUGCAGGAAGUGCGAUGUUUAGCAGCGGGUUGUACAUGUUGCCUUCCCGCUGCCAAGCUGUGUGUUUUCUAUUUAAAAAUUGCCGGUCUUUGUUAUGCAUUUUAUCUCAUAAUUUUAACAUUUAUUGGUGCAAUUAUUCAAUGUUUACUUUAUAUUAAGCAUAUGGAUCAAAUUUUGAUCAUUUCUUUUCACAAUUAAUUCAACUGUGAGACCAUUUUUUUGCUGUCGACUUUCAUUUAAAUGGUAUCUCGUGAGCCUCCUAUGGGCACCCUGACAAAACAGUGCAAUUUAAACAAUAUUCCAUGGUCAAGCAAGCUGGGGAAUACUGCCUGAGGUUAUAUCUUAGUUGAGUAUGCCCCCUUUGGGCAAGAUUAUUACGUGGAAAUGCAGAUGAAGCACCAGCCAACUUGCUCCUUCAAAACAUCACCACUCUUUAGAAUGAAAAUUUGAUAUAUUUAAGCCAUGAGUGUUUUUAACUUGGGUAAUAGUUCUACUCAUCAGCACCAGCUUGAAGCCAGUGUCUGUGUGUUUAUCAUUAGUUCAUUCAUUCAAUAAUAAUGUACUGAGUCUUUCCUAUGGUCCGGGUACCAUGCUAAACAUUGGCAACACUGAGUUCUAGCUUCCAUGUUCUUGAUCUGUGUUAUUCAAUAUGGUAGCCACAAGCCACAUGUGGCUACUGAGCACUUGAAAGGUGGCUGGUCUGAGGUGAGAUGGGGCACAAGUUAAAUUCACACCGAACUUUAAAGACAGUAUGAAAUGGAAAGCAAAGAACUUCCCUGGAGGUUCAGUGACUGGGACUCCAUGCUUU
Bubalus bubalis (water buffalo) is the source of this 4748-nucleotide long non-coding RNA. RefSeq lists it as uncharacterized. The record is from RefSeq and is a predicted model, not a curated record. The transcript has 3 exons. Lineage: Eukaryota; Metazoa; Chordata; Mammalia; Artiodactyla; Bovidae.